AACAGGGAAAAGCUCACAGUUGGAACCUAGCUGCCUUAGGUAGUUYGGAUUGUAAACUGAAAAAGUGUUAUCCAGGCUAGCCGAGUAAAAAAGUUUCUUGGAAUAGAACAUCAUGGAGGGUGAGAAUCCCGUCUUUGGCUUGAGCAUAGUCUUUUGUGUUACACUUUAACGAGUCAGGUUGUUUGGGAAUGCAGCCUAAAGUGGGAGGUAAAUCCCUCCUAAAGCUAAAUAUUGGCGAGAGACCGAUAGCAAACAAGUACCGUGAGGGAAAGAUGAAAAGAACUUUGAAAAGAGAGUUAAACAGUAUGUGAAAUUGCUAAAAGGGAAGCGUUUGAAGACAGACUAGCUUGGUUAUAAUCAGCCUGGAUUUUUCUUGGUGUACUUGUAGCCUAUGCUUGCCAACAGCAGUUUGGUUUGGCUGAAAAAACUAGUAGUAAGGUGGCUCUCUUCGGGGAGUGUUAUAGACUAUUAGAAAAUCAGUUGGACUGGACUGAGGAAUGCAAUGCAGCUUGCCUUGGGGUGAACCAGAUUGGAUAGGAACCAUUGUUCCUUGAAGGUUUGGGUAGCUCCUCGAACUGUAUUUAGGUUGUUGGCUUAAUGUCUUUAAACGGCCCGUCUUGAAACCACG
This 628-nucleotide ribosomal RNA is filed under the name Circinella chinensis. RNAcentral's name for it is "eukaryotic LSU rRNA". It matches the Rfam family "Eukaryotic large subunit ribosomal RNA", at positions 96 to 663 of the family's 3401-position model. Lineage: Eukaryota; Fungi; Mucoromycota; Mucoromycetes; Mucorales; Lichtheimiaceae. The record is from RNAcentral.